Ribosomal RNA from Schizosaccharomyces cryophilus OY26, 125 nucleotides. The record is from Rfam. Lineage: Eukaryota; Fungi; Ascomycota; Schizosaccharomycetes; Schizosaccharomycetales; Schizosaccharomycetaceae.
UUCUACGGCCAUACCUAGGCAAAAACGCCAGUUCCCGUCCGAUCACUGCCGUUAAGUGAAAAUGUCUGAGGGUCUCGUUAGUACUAUGGUUGGAGACAACAUGGGAAUCCGGGGUGCUGUAGGUU